UGUGCCCACUGCCAUCUCAUUCCAGUGCCGCCCUGAGACUCUACCUUCUCCAGGCCUCAGGAAAUAACAAGUAUCAUCUCUUGCUGAAGAAUCGGGAUCCUUUAUCUAGCUCAGGGAUCAGAGCAGACAUCCUGAUUCCUGCAAUUCAUG
Molecule: long non-coding RNA, 150 nt
Filed under: Ictidomys tridecemlineatus (thirteen-lined ground squirrel)
Lineage: Eukaryota; Metazoa; Chordata; Mammalia; Rodentia; Sciuridae
Description: lncRNA (ENSSTOG00000032876.1)
Source: RNAcentral